Molecule: ribosomal RNA, 253 nt
Filed under: uncultured bacterium
Lineage: Bacteria
Description: partial 16S ribosomal RNA
Rfam family: Bacterial small subunit ribosomal RNA
Source: RNAcentral
UACGGGGGGGGCAAGCGUUGUUCGGAAUUACUGGGCGUAAAGAGCUCGUAGGCGGCCAACUAAGUCGGAUGUGAAAUCCCCAAGCUUAACUUGGGAACUGCAUCCGAUACUGGAUGGCUUGAAUCCGGGAGAGGGAUGCAGAAUUCCAGGUGUAGCGGUGAAAUGCGUAGAUAUCUGGAGGAAUACCGGUGGCGAGGGCGGCAUCCUGGACCGGCAUUGACGCUGAGGAGCGAAAGCUAGGGGAGCAAACGGG